CCUACGGGUGGCAGCAGUGAGGAAUAUUGGUCAAUGGGCGGAAGCCUGAACCAGCCAAGUAGCGUGAGGGAUUAAGGCCCUACGGGUCGUAAACCUCUUUUGCCGGGGAAUAACACCCUGCACGUGUCCUGGUCUGCAGGUACCCUGCGAAUAAGGGCCGGCUAAUUCCGUGCCAGCAGCCGCGGUAAUACGGAAGGCCCGAGCGUUAUCCGGAUUUUUUGGGGUUAAAGGGAGCGUAGGCGGGUUGUUAAGUCAGUUGGGAAAUUUGGCGGCUCAACCGUAAAACUGCAGUUGAUACUGGAAGCCUUGAGUACAGUGGAGGUAGGCGGAAUUCGUGGUGUAGCGGUGAAAUGCUUAGAUAUCACGAAGAACUCCGAUUGCGAAGGCAGCCUGCUGGGCUGCGACUGACGCUGAUGCUCGAAAGUGUGGGUAUCAAACAGGAUUAGAUACCCCUGUAGUC
RNAcentral lists this ribosomal RNA (460 nucleotides) under uncultured bacterium. RNAcentral's name for it is "partial 16S ribosomal RNA". It matches the Rfam family "Bacterial small subunit ribosomal RNA", at positions 338 to 795 of the family's 1533-position model. The record is from RNAcentral.